CCGACAUUGUCCUGUUUGGCGCACUGAAACCAGUAUGUGAUGAAGUGGGGUCAAAGAAAGGCUUUUUCAUUCGUGGUUUCGUUCCAUAAUUGGCUCCUGCAGUAGCAGAGAUGCCAUGCUGCGUGCAUGUGAAGUCUUCAGAAGCUGGCAUUGGUUAUCUCACAUGGUGGAAAAGGCAAGAUGGUUUCAGGAGGCGUUCUGGAGGAGACAGCAUUGUUCUCAAGUAUCAUACAACAGUCUGAAGACAACACACUUUAGGACAUUGGGGUCUGUCGCUGAGGAGGAGAUGCUCACCGUAGUGCAAGUAGCUGGAGAGGGAGGUAUGGGAGAUGACGACGUUGUGGAGGUCGGUGUGGAACUGGAGUGCUGGAAGAUCUCAUCCUCUGUGUGACCUGAUGGAGA
Molecule: long non-coding RNA, 402 nt
Organism: Onychostoma macrolepis
Lineage: Eukaryota; Metazoa; Chordata; Actinopteri; Cypriniformes; Cyprinidae
Exons: 3
Source: RefSeq, a predicted model, not a curated record